UGGAGAAAACCACAGAAGGUGGAAUUCUUUCUGCCUUUCCCAUUUGAGAAUGGAGUAUGCACGGGACCAUUUUCUGCUGAGUUACUAGUUUUUCUUAUGCUAGUUAUUUUAUUUGAUAAACAAACUUGACAUAACUUGAAAAAAAGCAGAGCAAGCAGAGACAGAGGUUACUUUCUCUACUCCAUUUAAGAAAAAUAUUGAGAUCUGAAUAAAAGCACUCCAGAAUUGUAAGCUUUUAGUUGGACCAUCAUUCCCUCUCAUGUUCAGGUGGUCG
Hibiscus syriacus is the source of this 274-nucleotide long non-coding RNA. RefSeq lists it as uncharacterized. The record is from RefSeq and is a predicted model, not a curated record. The transcript is spliced from 3 exons. Lineage: Eukaryota; Viridiplantae; Streptophyta; Magnoliopsida; Malvales; Malvaceae.